GUUGAGGUAGCAAAGAGUUAAUGCAAAAGGCCUAAGCCCUUUUACCGUAGGUUAGAAUCCUACUCUUAAUA
Molecule: transfer RNA, 71 nt
Filed under: Chiridota heheva
Lineage: Eukaryota; Metazoa; Echinodermata; Holothuroidea; Apodida; Chiridotidae
Also listed under: 1 other name
Description: tRNA-Leu
Rfam family: tRNA
About the family: Transfer RNA (tRNA) molecules are approximately 80 nucleotides in length.
Source: RNAcentral